AUCCUGGUAGCUUAAUACAAAGCAUCGGCCUUGUAAACCAAAGACGGAAAGAAACUUUCCCUGGGAUA
RNAcentral lists this transfer RNA (68 nucleotides) under Leiolepis guttata (spotted butterfly lizard). RNAcentral describes it as "tRNA-Thr". It matches the Rfam family "tRNA". Rfam says of the family: Transfer RNA (tRNA) molecules are approximately 80 nucleotides in length. Lineage: Eukaryota; Metazoa; Chordata; Lepidosauria; Squamata; Agamidae. The record is from RNAcentral.